RNAcentral lists this long non-coding RNA (620 nucleotides) under Monodelphis domestica (gray short-tailed opossum). RNAcentral describes it as "lncRNA (ENSMODG00000050422.1)". Lineage: Eukaryota; Metazoa; Chordata; Mammalia; Didelphimorphia; Didelphidae. The record is from RNAcentral.
UGGUAAUAUUUGGUUACAGUAAGAUCUGUUGUUUCACAGGAAGUCCAGCAGAGGGGCCUGUAAUUUGAUUCAGUUAGUAACUUGGAAAACCAAGAGGGGAAGAAAGCCCAACAUUCUUAAGGAACAUUUUGCACUGAAGAGACUUGCUGGGUGAGUGACUGGAACUGAAAGAAGAAGCUUGCAUUGGUGAAUUUCUGGCUGAAGACACCACCUGGACUUCCACCUGGAGAUCUGGACUUGUGGGAGAAUUUGCCAGGACUGAGCCUGACUUCACAGGAUUAGCACUUAUGCUGGUAAACUUUAACCAGAAUGCUAUUUUUUAAAUUUUAUUUUCAUUGAAAGCAAGUAUGGCUGCCUACAUUCCAAGAUGACUUCCCCUUCUGCCAAGUGUCUCAAAGGUAAGGCAUUGCCUCCAAUCAUUCAAAAAUUUGAGUUAUAAAACACAAACUGAAGUAUACAUAUAUACACACAACCUAUAAAACUGUAACUAUAGCGGUGACUAGGUUCCAAGUAAUGGAUUUUGAUUUGUUUUCCCAGAUCUUCCCACAAUGACUCAAUUUGAUUGAAAUGAUGCAAUUCUAAAGGGAUUCAUUAGGUUCCAUUGCUAGGUUACCAUUUGC